GGUUAAGCGACUAAGCGUACACGGUGGAUGCCCUGGCAGUCAGAGGCGAUGAAGGACGUGCUAAUCUGCGAUAAGCGUCGGUAAGGUGAUAUGAACCGUUAUAACCGGCGAUUUCCGAAUGGGGAAACCCAGUGUGUUUCGACACACUAUCAUUAACUGAAUCCAUAGGUUAAUGAGGCGAACCGGGGGAACUGAAACAUCUAAGUACCCCGAGGAAAAGAAAUCAACCGAGAUUCCCCCAGUAGCGGCGAGCGAACGGGGAGCAGCCCAGAGCCUGAAUCAGUGUGUGUGUUAGUGGAAGCGUCUGGAAAGGCGCGCGAUACAGGGUGACAGCCCCGUACACAAAAAUGCACAUGCUGUGAGCUCGAUGAGUAGGGCGGGACACGUGGUAUCCUGUCUGAAUAUGGGGGGACCAUCCUCCAAGGCUAAAUACUCCUGACUGACCGAUAGUGAACCAGUACCGUGAGGGAAAGGCGAAAAGAACCCCGGCGAGGGGAGUGAAAAAGAACCUGAAACCGUGUACGUACAAGCAGUGGGAGCACGCUUAGGCGUGUGACUGCGUACCUUUUGUAUAAUGGGUCAGCGACUUAUAUUCUGUAGCAAGGUUAACCGAAUAGGGGAGCCGAAGGGAAACCGAGUCUUAACUGGGCGUUAAGUUGCAGGGUAUAGACCCGAAACCCGGUGAUCUAGCCAUGGGCAGGUUGAAGGUUGGGUAACACUAACUGGAGGACCGAACCGACUAAUGUUGAAAAAUUAGCGGAUGACUUGUGGCUGGGGGUGAAAGGCCAAUCAAACCGGGAGAUAGCUGGUUCUCCCCGAAAGCUAUUUAGGUAGCGCCUCGUGAAUUCAUCUCCGGGGGUAGAGCACUGUUUCGGCAAGGGGGUCAUCCCGACUUACCAACCCGAUGCAAACUGCGAAUACCGGAGAAUGUUAUCACGGGAGACACACGGCGGGUGCUAACGUCCGUCGUGAAGAGGGAAACAACCCAGACCGCCAGCUAAGGUCCCAAAGUCAUGGUUAAGUGGGAAACGAUGUGGGAAGGCCCAGACAGCCAGGAUGUUGGCUUAGAAGCAGCCAUCAUUUAAAGAAAGCGUAAUAGCUCACUGGUCGAGUCGGCCUGCGCGGAAGAUGUAACGGGGCUAAACCAUGCACCGAAGCUGCGGCAGCGACGCUUAUGCGUUGUUGGGUAGGGGAGCGUUCUGUAAGCCUGUGAAGGUGUACUGUGAGGUAUGCUGGAGGUAUCAGAAGUGCGAAUGCUGACAUAAGUAACGAUAAAGCGGGUGAAAAGCCCGCUCGCCGGAAGACCAAGGGUUCCUGUCCAACGUUAAUCGGGGCAGGGUGAGUCGACCCCUAAGGCGAGGCCGAAAGGCGUAGUCGAUGGGAAACAGGUUAAUAUUCCUGUACUUGGUGUUACUGCGAAGGGGGGACGGAGAAGGCUAUGUUGGCCGGGCGACGGUUGUCCCGGUUUAAGCGUGUAGGCUGGUUUUCCAGGCAAAUCCGGAAAAUCAAGGCUGAGGCGUGAUGACGAGGCACUACGGUGCUGAAGCAACAAAUGCCCUGCUUCCAGGAAAAGCCUCUAAGCAUCAGGUAACAUCAAAUCGUACCCCAAACCGACACAGGUGGUCAGGUAGAGAAUACCAAGGCGCUUGAGAGAACUCGGGUGAAGGAACUAGGCAAAAUGGUGCCGUAACUUCGGGAGAAGGCACGCUGAUAUGUAGGUGAAGUCCCUCGCGGAUGGAGCUGAAAUCAGUCGAAGAUACCAGCUGGCUGCAACUGUUUAUUAAAAACACAGCACUGUGCAAACACGAAAGUGGACGUAUACGGUGUGACGCCUGCCCGGUGCCGGAAGGUUAAUUGAUGGGGUUAGCGCAAGCGAAGCUCUUGAUCGAAGCCCCGGUAAACGGCGGCCGUAACUAUAACGGUCCUAAGGUAGCGAAAUUCCUUGUCGGGUAAGUUCCGACCUGCACGAAUGGCGUAAUGAUGGCCAGGCUGUCUCCACCCGAGACUCAGUGAAAUUGAACUCGCUGUGAAGAUGCAGUGUACCCGCGGCAAGACGGAAAGACCCCGUGAACCUUUACUAUAGCUUGACACUGAACAUUGAGCCUUGAUGUGUAGGAUAGGUGGGAGGCUUUGAAGUGUGGACGCCAGUCUGCAUGGAGCCGACCUUGAAAUACCACCCUUUAAUGUUUGAUGUUCUAACGUUGACCCGUAAUCCGGGUUGCGGACAGUGUCUGGUGGGUAGUUUGACUGGGGCGGUCUCCUCCUAAAGAGUAACGGAGGAGCACGAAGGUUGGCUAAUCCUGGUCGGACAUCAGGAGGUUAGUGCAAUGGCAUAAGCCAGCUUGACUGCGAGCGUGACGGCGCGAGCAGGUGCGAAAGCAGGUCAUAGUGAUCCGGUGGUUCUGAAUGGAAGGGCCAUCGCUCAACGGAUAAAAGGUACUCCGGGGAUAACAGGCUGAUACCGCCCAAGAGUUCAUAUCGACGGCGGUGUUUGGCACCUCGAUGUCGGCUCAUCACAUCCUGGGGCUGAAGUAGGUCCCAAGGGUAUGGCUGUUCGCCAUUUAAAGUGGUACGCGAGCUGGGUUUAGAACGUCGUGAGACAGUUCGGUCCCUAUCUGCCGUGGGCGCUGGAGAACUGAGGGGGGCUGCUCCUAGUACGAGAGGACCGGAGUGGACGCAUCACUGGUGUUCGGGUUGUCAUGCCAAUGGCACUGCCCGGUAGCUAAAUGCGGAAGAGAUAAGUGCUGAAAGCAUCUAAGCACGAAACUUGCCCCGAGAUGAGUUCUCCCUGACUCCUUGAGAGUCCUGAAGGAACGUUGAAGACGACGACGUUGAUAGGCCGGGUGUGUAAGCGCAGCGAUGCGUUGAGCUAACCGGUACUAAUGAACCGUGAGGCUUAACCUU
RNAcentral lists this ribosomal RNA (2904 nucleotides) under Escherichia coli. RNAcentral describes it as "23S ribosomal RNA". It matches the Rfam family "Bacterial large subunit ribosomal RNA". RNAcentral also lists the same sequence under 1 other name. The record is from RNAcentral. Lineage: Bacteria; Pseudomonadati; Pseudomonadota; Gammaproteobacteria; Enterobacterales; Enterobacteriaceae.